RNAcentral lists this long non-coding RNA (233 nucleotides) under Lathyrus oleraceus (garden pea). Its description in RNAcentral is "Pisum sativum (pea) long non-coding RNA (PSAT_LNC031105)". Lineage: Eukaryota; Viridiplantae; Streptophyta; Magnoliopsida; Fabales; Fabaceae. The record is from RNAcentral.
UAGGGUAAAUUUGGGGGUAUGACAAGACUGCUUCCACCCAUUUAGUGAAAUAAUGAAUGACUACUAAGAUAAAGCGAUGCCCAUUUGAGGCAGUCGGCUCGAUGCUCCCAAUAAUAUCAAUGCCCCACAUGGAGAAAGGCCACGGUGAUGUUAAGACAUUGAGUGGCACUGGUGGCACAUGUAUCUUAUCAAUGUAAAUCUGACAUUUAUGAUAUGUUUGUACGUGGCGGUAG